This 207-nucleotide ribosomal RNA is filed under the name uncultured bacterium. RNAcentral describes it as "partial 16S ribosomal RNA". It matches the Rfam family "Bacterial small subunit ribosomal RNA", at positions 568 to 774 of the family's 1533-position model. The record is from RNAcentral.
CGCGUAGGCGGGUAAGCAAGUCAGAUGUGAAAUACCGGGGCUCAACCCCGGGGCUGCAUUUGAAACUGUUUAUCUUGAGUGCAGGAGAGGGAAGCGGAAUUCCUAGUGUAGCGGUGAAAUGCGUAGAUAUUAGGAGGAACACCGGUGGCGAAGGCGGCUUCCUGGACUGUAACUGACGCUGAGGCGCGAAAGCGUGGGGAGCAAACA